This 891-nucleotide ribosomal RNA is filed under the name Rhynchanthera grandiflora. RNAcentral describes it as "eukaryotic LSU rRNA". The stretch from base 652 to 891 matches the Rfam family "Eukaryotic large subunit ribosomal RNA", at positions 1 to 239 of the family's 3401-position model. Lineage: Eukaryota; Viridiplantae; Streptophyta; Magnoliopsida; Myrtales; Melastomataceae. The record is from RNAcentral.
UCCGUAGGUGAACCUGCGGAAGGAUCAUUGUCGAAACUGCACGAAAGAAUGACCCGCGAACCGUCACUGCCCAACGGACGGGACGCACGGGCGUGUAGCGUCCGCGUGUCUCGGGCCGUGUCGGCGCUGGCCUUCCGGGGGCCGCGUCGACCCGGCGAACAGACAUCUCCAGCACGGAUCGUGCCAAGGACCUCAACGGAGAGGAUUGUCUUCCCACGCCCUCGGUCUUCCUCGACGGGCGGCGUGGGACGCGCGAUCACGGCUCCAAGUCAGUCUAAAAUGACUCUCGGCAACGGAUAUCUCGGCUCUUGCAUCGAUGAAGAACGCAGCGAAAUGCGAUACUUGGUGUGAAUUGCAGAAUCCCGCGAACCAUCAAUUCUUUGAACGCAAGUUGCGCCUGAAGCCAUUCGGCCGAGGGCACGCCUGCCUGGGUGUCGUGAAUCCCCUUGCCUUGGGCACCCGCACGAUCAUCGGCGAGGCAUGCCCGGGCGCGGAAUGUGGUCUCCCGUCGGAUCGGCAUGCGUCGUCUUGCGGUUGGCCGAAAGUCUUACACCCGCGCGACGGGCUCCGCGGUGUUCGGUGGAUCGAACGUGAUUGGCUGCGUCGCGGUCCCGGCGUGCGGCGGUCCGAGGACUUUGGAAUCCCCGAGUGCGAUCCCAGGUCAGGCGGGGCUACCCGCUGAGUUUAAGCAUAUCAAUAAGCGGAGGAAAAGAAACUAACUAGGAUUCCCUUAGUAGCGGCGAGCGAACCGGGAGGAGCCCAGCGUGAAAAUCUUCUGCCGUCGGCGGACGAAUUGUAGUCUGGAGAAGCGUCCUCAGUGACGGACCGGGCCCAAGUUCACUGGAAGGUGGCGCCGGAGAGGGUGAGAGCCCCGUCGUGGCCGGACCCUGU